Molecule: microRNA, 22 nt
Filed under: Gallus gallus (chicken)
Lineage: Eukaryota; Metazoa; Chordata; Aves; Galliformes; Phasianidae
Description: microRNA Ros-gga
Source: RNAcentral
GCACAGAUCUGCCUACUCUGCC